GCAGAGUAGUACAAAAAGCGUUAAGUAUCGCCGAACGGGAUGUUGACGGCGAGCGAAGGUUUUUAACCGCGACUUUUUGACGCAUCCG
This 88-nucleotide non-coding RNA is filed under the name human gut metagenome. RNAcentral describes it as "THF riboswitch". It matches the Rfam family "THF (Tetrahydrofolate) riboswitch aptamer". Rfam says of the family: THF riboswitch presents a pseudoknot that joins P1-P2 and the loop of P3 and two THF binding. The record is from RNAcentral.